GGAAUUUGUUUGCUGGCCUGAGAAGAUGGUGGUUUCCACCACCAUCCCCACGUGGAUGCAUCAUGGCCUUCAGAUCUCUCUCCAACGUUUUAAUCAUGACCUUUGGUUCUAUUGACUUAUUUUAAUUCAUUUUGUUUCGCGCUUGACUCAUGACCAUGGUACUCCAGCGCCUCUGAGCCAUUGGAUGUAGCCACGUCAUUUAAUGAACUAAUCCAAGGGGCGGUGAUUUUCCUAUUUUCUAUUUUUAUUUUUUAUUUUCUUUUAAUUCCAUUAAUUUUCAAAAAUUCAUAACUAUUUUAUUUGAAGUCAUAAAAAUAUGUGACCAAUGGCAAAAAAAAUCUUGAAAAAUCUAGUUUCAUAAUCUGAUUUUUAAUUAUUUUUGUGACUUCAUUUAAUAUUUUUU
This 403-nucleotide long non-coding RNA is filed under the name Lathyrus oleraceus (garden pea). RNAcentral describes it as "Pisum sativum (pea) long non-coding RNA (PSAT_LNC009536)". The record is from RNAcentral. Lineage: Eukaryota; Viridiplantae; Streptophyta; Magnoliopsida; Fabales; Fabaceae.